GGGCCCGCACAAGCGGUGGAGUAUGUGGUUUAAUUCGAUGCAACGCGAAGAACCUUACCAGGGUUUGACAUCCUGCGAAUCUCUUGGAAACGAGAGAGUGCCUUCGGGAACGCAGUGACAGGUGGUGCAUGGCUGUCGUCAGCUCGUGUCGUGAGAUGUUGGGUUAAGUCCCGCAACGAGCGCAACCCACGUCUUUAGUUGCCAGCAUUUAGUUGGGCACUUUAAAGAGACUGCCGGUGAUAAACCGGAGGAAGGUGAGGACGACGUCAAGUCAGCAUGCCCCUUACGCCCUGGCUACACACGUGCUACAAUGGUAGGUACAGAGGGAAGCCACCCCGCGAGGGGAGCGGA
RNAcentral lists this ribosomal RNA (351 nucleotides) under uncultured bacterium. RNAcentral describes it as "bacterial SSU rRNA". It matches the Rfam family "Bacterial small subunit ribosomal RNA", at positions 917 to 1271 of the family's 1533-position model. The record is from RNAcentral.